CAAGACGUAGCUUAAACUAAAGCACUCAGCUUACGCCUGAGAGAUAUCCGAUCACAUCGAAUCGUCUUGA
RNAcentral lists this transfer RNA (70 nucleotides) under Cisticola juncidis. RNAcentral describes it as "tRNA-Val". It matches the Rfam family "tRNA". Rfam says of the family: Transfer RNA (tRNA) molecules are approximately 80 nucleotides in length. Their secondary structure includes four short double-helical elements and three loops (D, anti-codon, and T loops). The record is from RNAcentral. Lineage: Eukaryota; Metazoa; Chordata; Aves; Passeriformes; Cisticolidae.